UUUGUUCAUGAGCAAAAUGCCAGUGAGUGGUUGAAUGGGGAACCUAAACUACAUUCCUCCAAAUAUUGUUCCACUGGUCAAAUAUGCCUCAUCUUGCCUCUUUCCUAAUAUAAACUGAGACACACUGGUGGUUGACAAUAAUAAGAACUUUUUGAAGGCAAUGUCAUUCCUGCCUCUCCAGACCUCAGACAGCUGUUACUCACUGUUUAUCCUUCAUCACGCCAUAGGCUACACUCCUAACACCAGCCAUCUGG
Molecule: long non-coding RNA, 254 nt
Organism: Pan troglodytes (chimpanzee)
Lineage: Eukaryota; Metazoa; Chordata; Mammalia; Primates; Hominidae
Exons: 3
Source: RefSeq, a predicted model, not a curated record